CCCGCAUGAUGGCUGCACCUGUCAGCUGCAAGGAGCUUCCUUUAAGGAUCUUCUGAGUCUUGUGGGUAAACUCCAGGAGUUGGUGAU
This is an unclassified non-coding RNA of Bos indicus x Bos taurus (hybrid cattle), 87 nucleotides long. NCBI's taxonomy places the organism in Eukaryota, Metazoa, Chordata, Mammalia, Artiodactyla, Bovidae. The record is from Ensembl.